Acanthosepion pharaonis is the source of this 112-nucleotide non-coding RNA. The record is from the annotation of a GenBank genome assembly. NCBI's taxonomy places the organism in Eukaryota, Metazoa, Mollusca, Cephalopoda, Sepiida, Sepiidae.
UAUGACCAUAUCACGUUGAAACACCAGUUCUCGUUCGAUAUUUGAAGUUAAUCAACGCCGAGCUUGAUCAGUAUCUAGAUGGGUGACCGCUUAGAAAUAUCAGGGGCUGUAA